RNAcentral lists this ribosomal RNA (245 nucleotides) under uncultured bacterium. RNAcentral describes it as "partial 16S ribosomal RNA". It matches the Rfam family "Bacterial small subunit ribosomal RNA", at positions 524 to 768 of the family's 1533-position model. The record is from RNAcentral.
UACGUAGGGGGCAAGCGUUGUCCGGAAUUAUUGGGCGUAAAGCGCGCGCAGGCGGUUCUUUAAGUCUGAUGUGAAAGCCCACGGCUCAACCGUGGAGGGUCAUUGGAAACUGGAGAACUUGAGUGCAGAAGAGGAGAGUGGAAUUCCACGUGUAGCGGUGAAAUGCGUAGAUAUGUGGAGGAACACCAGUGGCGAAAGCGGCUCUCUGGUCUGUAACUGACGCUGAGGCGCGAAAGCGUGGGGAG